GGAGAAAUGGCCGAGUGGUCGAAGGCGCUCCCCUGCUAAGGGAGUAUAGGGUAACUCCUAUCGAGGGUUCGAAUCCCUCUUUCUCCG
This 87-nucleotide transfer RNA is filed under the name Gammaproteobacteria bacterium. RNAcentral describes it as "tRNA-Ser". It matches the Rfam family "tRNA". From Rfam's summary of the family: Transfer RNA (tRNA) molecules are approximately 80 nucleotides in length. Their secondary structure includes four short double-helical elements and three loops (D, anti-codon, and T loops). The record is from RNAcentral. Lineage: Bacteria; Pseudomonadati; Pseudomonadota; Gammaproteobacteria.